RNAcentral lists this ribosomal RNA (253 nucleotides) under uncultured bacterium. Its description in RNAcentral is "partial 16S ribosomal RNA". It matches the Rfam family "Bacterial small subunit ribosomal RNA", at positions 524 to 776 of the family's 1533-position model. The record is from RNAcentral.
UACGUAGGUGGCAAGCGUUGUCCGGAUUUACUGGGCGUAAAGGGCGUGCAGGCGGUUUGUUAAGUCUAGGGUGAAAGCUCCCGGCUCAACUGGGAGAGGUCCUUGGAUACUGGCAGACUUGAGGAGGGUAGAGGAGAGUGGAAUUCCCGGUGUAGUGGUGAUAUGCGUAGAUAUCCGGAGGAACACCAGUGGCGAAAGCGGCUCUCUGGGGGCAACCUGACGCUGAGGCGCGAAAGCGUGGGGAGCGAACCGG